CAGAGGAUACGCCGAUUACACCCAAAAAAAAUCCUAUAUUUAGGUAGGGAGGUAAUAUUAAUUUAAUGUAAUAGAAGCAACAAAUUCUCAAACAAGCAACAAAACACUUAAAAAAUGAAAACAUAUAGAAGGAAAUUAUAUAUAUACAAUGAUACCUAAAAUCAGUGGAAUCGAAGGAGAAUUUGUAUGAAUUAUACCUAAAAUCAGUGGAAUCGAUCAUCUUCCAUUCUCUGAUGUGCUUUGGGCACAGGCAAUGCUUUAUCUCUGUAUCCCUUCUUCGAUUCCAGUAUUCUCAUGUUUGUUCCAAUAUGCAUUUCCUCGCAUCGCUCACUCUUUCUGUUGGGCGAUUCCUCUUUCGCCAUUUUUGCUCCAAAAAUAUUCAUUCACCCCUUGUCUCUGUCUUUUCUGCUGCGUUUAGAACGGUGUGUCAUGUCAACAUUUCCUACCAAAUUUCUAAAAACA
Molecule: long non-coding RNA, 462 nt
Filed under: Trifolium pratense (red clover)
Lineage: Eukaryota; Viridiplantae; Streptophyta; Magnoliopsida; Fabales; Fabaceae
Description: long non-coding RNA (TPRA_LNC000652)
Source: RNAcentral